UCCGCACACGAUGCUGCGCCAGACGCUCCUACACAGUAACCUGGAAAUUAUCACCGGCGGAGCAAAGUCACAGCUCAGGGAGGCCCUCCGCGUUGUCUGGCGGAGGAGGGGAGUGGCAGGUGAUCCUCACAGCCUAAUUUUACUGAGGAAGAAACAGAAACUCAAAGAGGAGGAGUUGAUUCUGAACCAAGGCCUUCUGACUCCAAGUCCAGUGUUCUUGCUGCCUGAACUUCAGCUGUGACGUGUACAUGCAACCUUACCAUCCAGUGGGAAGAAGAAAAUACCAGAAUUAAGUCACUCUAGGAAAGCCAGCUGCCAUGACAUAAGGAUACUCAGGCCACCAAUGGAUAGCCCAGGCAGGAGGCAUGAAGGUGUGCCAGCCACUGUGUCAGUCACCUUAUAAGCAGAUUUUCUGAGACCUGCUAACAGCCAUGUGAGUGACCUUGGAAGUAGGUUGUCACCAGUCAAGCCUUGAGAUGACUGCAGCCAUGACCCACAGCUUGACUACAACCCAGAGAGACACUGAGCCAGGAACACCCAGCUGAAGUGCCUCCAAACCC
Molecule: long non-coding RNA, 560 nt
Filed under: Homo sapiens (human)
Lineage: Eukaryota; Metazoa; Chordata; Mammalia; Primates; Hominidae
Description: non-protein coding lnc-ZNF860-1:1
Source: RNAcentral